This 774-nucleotide ribosomal RNA is filed under the name uncultured Neocallimastigales. RNAcentral describes it as "partial large subunit ribosomal RNA". It matches the Rfam family "Eukaryotic large subunit ribosomal RNA", at positions 23 to 648 of the family's 3401-position model. Lineage: Eukaryota; Fungi; Neocallimastigomycota; Neocallimastigomycetes; Neocallimastigales. The record is from RNAcentral.
AGAGAUGUGUGAUGACGCAUAUCAAUAAGCGGAGGAAAAGAAACUAACAAGGAUUCCCUUAGUAACGGCGAGUGAAGCGGGAAGAGCUCAAAUUUGAAAUCUUCAAGGUUCUACCUUGACGAAUUGUAGUUUAAAGAAGUGUUUUCUGUUAGUGGAGUGGCAAAAGUUCUUUGGAAUAGGACAUCAUAGAGGGUGAGAAUCCCGUAUUUGGUCAUUCCUUCUAGCUUUGUGAUACACUUUCAAAGAGUCGGAUUGUUUGGGAAUGCAGUCCAAAAUGGGUGGUAAAUUUCAUCUAAAGCUAAAUAUUGGCGAGAGACCGAUAGCGAACAAGUACCGUGAGGGAAAGAUGAAAAGAACUUUGAAAAGAGAGUUAAACAGUACGUGAAAUUGUCAAAAGGGAAGCGUUUGACACCAGUGUUGUUUUUCCGAAAAUCAAUUACGAAUGUUUUAUUUUUGAGGAGUUAUGACUUCAUCGGCUUGCUCCUUUCUUUAUGAAACUUUCUUAAUGCACUUUUCGGUUAACAAGUCAACAUCAAUUUCUUUUGUUGUAAAAGGGUAUGAGGAAGGUGGCUUUCUUUUCGGAGAAAGUGUUUAUAGCCUUGUACCUCUGCAAUCGGAGAGAUUGAGGUCUGCAGCGUAGAUCCUUCGGGGUUAGAUACAUUUGUGCUAGGUUAUAGCUUUUCAUAGACAACUUGUUGACUAUGUUAAGUCUUGUAGCUUACUCGCAUAUGCUAUUUUACCUACGCUUAGGAUGUUGACGAUCAGCUGAGCGCG